Molecule: ribosomal RNA, 253 nt
Filed under: uncultured bacterium
Lineage: Bacteria
Description: partial 16S ribosomal RNA
Rfam family: Bacterial small subunit ribosomal RNA
Source: RNAcentral
UACAGAGGUCCCAAGCGUUGUUCGGAUUCACUGGGCGUAAAGGGUGCGCAGGUGGCAUGGUAAGUUUGGUGUGAAAGCUUCGGGCUUAACCCGGAAAUGGCAUUGAAUACUACUGUGCUGGAGGAUUGGAGGGGGGACUGGAAUUCUUGGUGUAGCAGUGAAAUGCGUAGAUAUCAAGAGGAACACCAGUGGCGAAGGCGAGUCCCUGGACAAUUCCUGACACUGAGGCACGAAAGCCAAGAGAGCAAACAGG